GACAGAGGUGGCAAGCGUUGUUCGGAUUUACUGGGCGUAAAGAGAGCGUAGGCGGCCGUGUAUGUCGGGUGUGAAAUCUCUCGGCUUAACCGAGAAACUGCAUUCGAAACUGCACGGCUAGAGGACAGGAGGGGGAAGUGGAAUUCCCGGUGUAGCGGUGAAAUGCGUAGAUAUCAAGAGGAACACCUGAGGUGAAGACGGGUUGCUGGGCCAACACUGACGCUGAGGCGCGAAAGCCAGGGGAGCAAACGGG
Molecule: ribosomal RNA, 253 nt
Filed under: uncultured bacterium
Lineage: Bacteria
Description: partial 16S ribosomal RNA
Rfam family: Bacterial small subunit ribosomal RNA
Source: RNAcentral